UUCGUUUCCCCAGUGGCCACCACCAGAAACCUCCCACGGUACUCCUCCGCCAGCUCCACCGUUCUUCCGAAGUUGGCAGUACUGUUUCCUGAGGUGGAGGUGGAGGCGGUGUAGGAAUAUUUCUUCCACAGGUAAGCAUGCUGUGGCGGAGAGGCCUAAUGGGCCUGCUCCCACGAUUAUCACUCUCUGCUUAAUUCCCUCCUGCUGCAUUCUUCUUUCUCCUUCAAUGCUUUUCUGGAUCCAUGUUUUGUUGUUAGGAAAGGGAAGAUGAAGAGAAGAGGAUGUUUUUGGUAUUGGUUAAUCAACUAAAAAAAAUAUUUAUUGUUUAAAUUAUAGAAAAGUAUAAAAAAAUAAUAUAAAAUUUUAUCUUCUAAUAAUAAUUUUUACUUUAAAUUUUUUAAUCAAUAUCUUCACAACAAUAAUUAUCAUUUUUCUUAUUAUAUACUAUCUAUCAUGGUAAUGAAAUAAUAAGGGAAGGUGGUGUAUACUUCUAGCUCACGGGUACCAAGAAAAAUAAAAUAUAUCUAAAACAAAAAUUCAUUCAUAAUUGAUAUUUUUAUGAAUAAAAAAUAUAUAAUUAUAUAAGUUUAAAUCUUAUAUAUUCACAACACAAAAUAAUCAUCGAAUUAAAUUAUUUUAAAAGAUGACAAAUUUAUCAUGGUAAAUUAUAAUUGAGUAGUUAUGUCAGUGUAUAAUUGUUUUUUUCUUUGAAUAUAUUACAUGUAAAAAUAAUAUAUAAGAAAAAAUAAUUAGAAAUUUCAUUUAAAUAUAAUUAGUAGUAUCAAAAUUUUUAAUAUUAUCUCCUACUUAUAAAUUAUUAUGUAUGAUAAAAUUAUUAAUUUUUAUAAUAUUUAUUUAAAACUUAAUUAUAAUAAUUUCUAAUUUGUUUACAACGCAAACAUCUGUACACUAAUUUCAUCCUAUAUACUCCUUUCCUUUGCUUAUAAUUAUUAUCCUUGUUUUAUAAAAAUAAUUGUUAUCCUAAAAUAAGAAUAUGAGUUCAUAAAGGUAUAUGUUACUAUUGAAACAGCCUUUUUUGUGUGUUGAUACUUUUCAAAACUUCUCAAACAAUGUGUGUUAAUUUGUGUGUGCGCCCGGGAGGUACGUAAUAGGAUAUCAUGAAUACUAUAGUACUCAUAUUCUCAUUCAUUCUUAUUAAAUUUUACAAGUAAAUCUUCAGCCUCAAAUUCUUUCAAAUUGAAUGAGUAUUUGCAGUAUCGAUAUGAGUAAAUCUUCAGCCUCAAAGUGUAAGUUUCUACAAUAGUAAAAAAUUUAUUAUUGAAACAAAAUUAUAUAUGAAUUUCUUACCAUAAUAAUAUCACAUUACGAGAAUCACAACAAGUAAUUUAAAACAACAUACCUAAUUCAUAUCCCCAAAAGAAGAAAGUGUCAUGUACAUACUGUUUCUGCAACCAAUAAUAGAUAAUAGAUCAUUACAUGACACAAAUUCCUUCUCUUUCUUCUUGAGGAAUUAACGAGGCAAUAUCAUUUGCUACUAAUUGGGCAUCCAUGUUAGCUCCAAAGAAACCCCUUCUUGACAGCCCAACACAAUACAAACCAUUUCGACCUUUCCAAUGAUUUGGGAAACUGUUUUUUGGAAAGCCAUCCUCAUUUAGAAGAUCAUCACCCCCCUGUACAGAACAAAUUAAUAUUAUCAUGUCUUUCUAAACUUUCUUGCAUGAUAGUUGUCCACAAGUAUGAACAUAGGUUAAUUUAGAUGGAAUAUAAUGGUGUAUUCAUUAAAGGGUACGUACGUAGCCAAUAUUGUCACAUAUAGCAUAUCAAUAUGAUACAUACCUUAAGCCACUUUUGAGUUGAUCUCUUGAAGCCUGUACAGAAAACAAUUGAGUCGAAUGUGUACGAUUUGCCAUCCUGGAACAAAACUUCAUUACCUCUUAUACUCUUUAUUUCAGCUGGCAACACCUACAUAACAUAUAAUAGAAUUAAUCAACCUCAGCUCAUACGUCUCUUCAGUUGAAAUUUUAUUUUUCUUAACCUCUUUAAUUUUAAACCAAUCAGUUGAAAUUUUAUUUUUUUUAACCUUUUUAAUUUUAAACCAAACGGGCCAGAUAGACACAGCAAAGGGUGUCGCUAGAUGCACCCAACACUUAAGGUAAAAUGAUGAAAAUAUCCUUGAUUCGUAAGUCAUUUAAGUUGAUCCAUAAAAGUUUUAUGGAUCAACUUAAUAUGUAAACUUUUUAUGGAUCAACUUGAUCCGUAGAAACCUUACAAAUCAACUUGAUCCGUAAGCUUUUUACGGAUCAAGUUGAUCAGCAAAACUUUUAUGGAUCAAGUUGAUCCUUAUUAUUCCGUAAAAGGCUUACGAAUCAAGUUGAUCUGUAUCAACCUUACGGAUCAACUUAAUCCGUACGAUUUAUGGACCACCCUCACACACACCCAUCACAAAUACAAAAAAAUAUAAAGAUAAUUUUAGUAUUUUAAAAAAAUAUUGGAUACACCAGCAAUGCUGAAUGCACCUAGCAACACCACCAGAGCAAAAGAGGAAGUAACAUUUAUGAAGCCCGUUGCUCCAUUUUGACCGUAUUUCAUUCUAUUGUAUUGUGUACCAUAAAAUGGGAUGACAAUUCUAUUCUAUUUUAUCAUAUAUAAUGAUAUAAAUAAAUAAUACAUUUGCAUAAACAAAGUAUAAUUUAUUUAUUUAUUAUUAUUUUAUUCAGAAUUAUAUAUCUCAAAAGUGAAACUAUAUAAAAGCUUUUACACUAAAAACAUAUGUAUUUAUUUUUUUGACUUAAAUGUCGUUUUGGUCCUUUCCUUCGUUCUUUUACAUGUGUUUUCGUUUAGGCUAAAUCAAUUGUUCACACCAUCAAACUCCAGAAAUUAGGUGGUAUACCUGUAUCUCUCGAGAUUUAAUUUUCUUGACAGUUCCUACAUCGAUGAUUGGGAACUUGGCAUACUUCAUCUUCAUGGUGAAAGGCCCCUCACUCGGAUACGGUAUCCCAUACUCACUCAGAUCUCCAUACACAACCUUGCUAACCAUCACCAACACCUUCUCCACCGUACUCAGCGACAAGUAAUUCAGCAUAAGCGACGCAUAAUACAUCAUAUCCCUCGAAAGAAAAUGAACCUACAUGCACACAUAACCAUCAUAAUAAUCUUAUCAAGCUUAAAAAUCUAACAACGAAUACGCCAACAAAUUAAUUAAAGUAUAAGAACCUUGGUUGUGUUUGGGUGAGGAAAAAUGAGAGAAACCAAAAAGAAAUUAUAUGGAUAUCAUGUUAAAUCAUACUUUAAUUAAAAAAAAAUUGUUUAUUUUCUUUAAACCAAACACAACAACAUUAGAGAUUAAAACAUAUUUUAAUCUAGAAAAAGAAAUUGAAAGUACCCACCGGGCUGCGAACAAUGAUGGAAGGUUUGGCACCAAAAUUGGACAAGUCUAGCGCAAUCUCCAUGCCGGAAUUGCCAGAUCCGACAACCAGAACAUGUUUAUUCUUAAACUCGUUCCCGUUUUUGUAGGCAGUUGAGUGAAUCACUUUUCCAUUGAAACUCUCCAAGCCUUGAAUCUGAGGCAGACGAGGCUCGGCGGUUUCGCCACUGGCCACGACCAGGUACUUUCCAGCGUAUUCCUCAAGCUCACCAGAUCUUCUAUUCUGAGCCUUCACUCUCCAAAUCCCUUUCCAUCCAUCAUACUCCACCAACUCCACUGCACGCUGGUACAGAGGCUUGAUCUCAAAGUGGUUAACGUAGUUUCCCAAGUAGUCUAUGAACUGCUUCCGAGGCACGUAGUGAGGGUAAGACUUGGGAAACGGUAAGUGCGGUAACUCGCAAACUUGCUUCCUCAAAUGAAGGUGGAGACGAUCGUAGGUGUAUUUCUGCCACAGCGAAGCGAAACAGUCUUCUCUCUCGAGCAUUAUGUAAGGUAUUGAUUGCUUCGUUAAGCAACCGGCGGUGGCGAUACCAGAAGUUCCGGCACCGAUUAUUAUCACCUUCGUCGCUUCCUGCAUCGUGUCUUUCUCCGUUCUAUGAAAGAGAUAUUUCAGAUAAAAUUAGUUUGUGAUUCAAGUCGUGUCGUAAAACCAAUGUAGUUUCCUACACGUUAUUCCCUACUUGUUUUGUUUGUUCUUAUCUUCUUAAUUAUCUUAACUUUAUCAUAUUUAUUUUUUAUUUUAUUUUUUUAAUAUUAUAUAUAGGGUAAAAUAUAUUUGAGGUUACUAUAAAACUUAAAAAGUAUAAUUUCUUUCUCAUAAUUUUUUUAUAUUAAUUUGAUUCUUGUAAGUAAAAUAUAAUUUUUUGGUAUAGAAAUUACAUUGUUAAUGUAUAGAAAUUAAAUUUUUGAGAUGUAAAAAAAUUUAAAAUAUGUAUUAAGAUGAAUAAUAUGGAGAAAAAAUAUUGAUAAAAGUUAAUAUAAAAAAGUAUUCUUAAAAUAAUUUUAUUUUAAUGUAAUUAAUCAUUAGAGAGGAUCAAGUUGUGUUUGAUUUAAGAGAAAAAGAAUGAAACAAAAGAAAAAGUGAAAAGAAACUUUAAGGAAGAAAGAGAACUAGAAAAGAAAAUGAUUUUAAAGUUGUUUAGUAGGAUGGAGAAUAAAAAAUUAUUUCCGUUUCCCCUAGGACCACAAAUCACUUUGAUGGCUCUGCUUGGUACAAAUGGACACACUUCCAUUAGUAAAUAGUUAAUUAAGAGGCAUGUAAAAGACAGAUGGGAAUUGGAAUGGACAACGUAUAUUAUAAGGAAUACAAAUGCAAAUUUGUAACAAUUGGUUGUAAUACAACUCGCUAAAGAAAGGACAUUCAAAAGAAUAUAAUGAAUAUGACAAGUACUCACACUAGGAUUCAAAACCAAGGAACAUAUAAUAUAUAAAAUAAAAGAUUUUAAGCCUAGGCUUUUUGGGUCAUAAGUUCCUAACAUAAAUAUAGACAUCUUUAUAAAUAUUGUUGUGUAUAAUUACUCAAUCUGCUAACUUUGUUAACCACAUCUAGAGAGCUCAACACCGGGCUGAUUCUUUGGAGUGCCACUGAACAACUUCACCGAAAAUGCUUCCACAAGUUUGUUGAUCUCAAAUGGGUUCUUCCAUUUCUUGGUGGAUUCCUUAGCAAUGUAGUUUCUCAUCUUUGCAUUCUCCUGCUUCAGCACAUCUAUUGCUAAACUCAGCUGUCUUAUCACCUCAAUCUUCUCUUCAUCCUUCUGCUUGAGUCGUUCCUUUUGUGCCUCAUUCUCAUCUCUAAGCCUUUCUAUUUCUUCCCUCAACAUCAUUACUUCAUCACAAAUGGUAUCCUUCUGCUUGAUUUGAUCCCUUUGAGCCUUGUUCUCUUCAUUGAGUCUCUUAAUUUCAUCCCUCAGCUUCAUCACUUCAACAUCACCCGCAACCACAAACAAAACUUGCUCCUUUUUUGUGCUUUUAUGCAGAAACUUGGUCCCCUCUUCUUCCUCCUCCUCCUGCUCAGGAUCAUCAACUUCAGAUUCCUCAGACUCGUACACAUCACAAUGCUCAGAAUAGGUAUCAUAUCCGUUAUCUGAAAAAGUCAUCAACUUCUCCAACUGAUACUUUGCUGAAGCGAAAGGUGACCCCCCAGUAAUGAGGUGUCCAAUUCCAGUAGUAUCAGGCUUGACUUGAUCAUAGCGCUCAGCUAGGGAGCGGUGUGCCCUGUAGAAAUCCUCAACCAUGCUCACAAGUUCUGGUCGCUUCUUGUAAUACAUCUCUGCACGUUUAGCAAAGGAAUCUGCAUCUUCUUCAAUUAACUUUAACAUUGCCCUUGUCUUCUCAUUUAGCUCUGAAACAAACAUACAACAGACAAUCAAACAUAAAUUUAUUGCCGUUUAGGAUCAACUUGUUUUAAAGAACUAAUAACUUUGGUUUUACAUCUUCCAAAGAUAGCUUCUAAAUAAGGAAAUGUGCCAAUAGCAAUACCCUUUUGAAUUAUGAGCAGUUUGUUUGGCUAAACACCCUUGAUAUUGGCCCCCCUUUUUUUUGCCAGUGAGUUAGUGACGGGCUCUUAAUUGAAAGGGGGGAAUUUGAAAAAGAGCUAUGCUAUUUUUAAAAUUUUUUUUUCCAAGAAAUAACAUUUUUUUCACUAAUAAAUAUUUUCAAUUCAGAGUUUCAAAAAUUCAUUCGCGAUUCAUUUAGAAUGAAAUGGAUCCUAGGAAAUGCAGAGCCACGAGUCUGCAAUCCGAAUCAAUAAUUUGGGGAAAGAAAGAAAAUCGUAAGAAGAGCUUGUGAAACGAUAAAAGAGAGAACAAAAACCUAAAAUGAAAAGAGAGAGAGAGCCUCAGAUUAGCAUUUUGGCACAUUAUUCAUCGCAACAACAACCCGUGUGACAAUACACGGUGCGCAGAAACGUUGUCGCAGCUCAUGCCAAUAAUUCAUUCAUCACCAGCUACUCCUCAAAAUUCGAUUCACUCUUCUUUUAUUUAAAACAAAGCAAAAUCCCCUCCAUCCUUUCUAGAUUUCAUAAUCCAAUUCAUUUGCAACAAAAUACAACGUUUGCCAUGAAAAAUGCAAAACAAAAGAGAAAUUUCUGAAUUCUCAGUCUCGCAACUCGCAAAGAUUGCGAAUUGCAAUUAACAGCGAAGCCAAUUAGGGUUUCAUGACAUUGAAUUGAAGUUCUGUCUGUGAGGCAGGGCGACUUUUUAUAUAGAAAGGCCAACAUUGGGCUUCUUCUCUUUCUCCGGCCCACAUUUUAGACCGAAUUGAUUUUGAGCCCAUUGAAAAAAUUGAACGGGAUGUCCAAUGUUAUUAGUUAUAUAUGUAAUAUGUAAAUUAAAGAGAAAAGCUUUUAUUGAUUUUUUUUUCUUUUACUGGAUUAAAAAUUAUCAUUAAUACACUUUCACUGUAAUUUUCAAUCCAUAUGUCAUUUUCAACAAUAGCAUUCUAGAGUUAAUGCCCUUUAAAACAAUGACAAAAUGAUACGCUAAUGUCAUGAGGAAAUUAGUUAAGAAAUUAAAAUGAACUAUUAAAGAAUGUAUUUCCCUAUAACUUCCAAGAUGUACGCAAUAUGGUUUCUAAUAAAAAUUUCUAUAAUUGAUUCUUUAACUUGUGUCUAGAGGAAGUUCUGGUUAAAAACUCGUUUUUAUUCAUUUUUACCAUCAGAAAUGACUGACAUGAUUUUUAAUGGUAAGAACCGAUUUUUACAUAAACAAGAUAUUCUUGUGAUUAAAAAAAUAUUUUGUGAAAUAAUAUGUGAGAUUCAAGCUUUAAGUCCUUACCAUCAUGUUUUAAAAUCUAUACGGUAUGACAGGACCCACUAAAAUGUACAAUAUUGGAGAUGCUCUUAUUGGAGUGGUUUAGCAAAUCCGAAAAAAGAAUGUGCUCAAAAAGGUCCCAUGGGUUGCUCCAACGGCUAAAUCCAAAGGGCAAAAG
RNAcentral lists this long non-coding RNA (7312 nucleotides) under Glycine max (soybean). Its description in RNAcentral is "long non-coding RNA (GMAX_LNC004462)". The record is from RNAcentral. Lineage: Eukaryota; Viridiplantae; Streptophyta; Magnoliopsida; Fabales; Fabaceae.